Molecule: ribosomal RNA, 465 nt
Filed under: Vreelandella stevensii
Lineage: Bacteria; Pseudomonadati; Pseudomonadota; Gammaproteobacteria; Oceanospirillales; Halomonadaceae
Description: partial 16S ribosomal RNA
Rfam family: Bacterial small subunit ribosomal RNA
Source: RNAcentral
CCUACGGGAGGCUGCAGUGGGGAAUAUUGGACAAUGGGCGAAAGCCUGAUCCAGCCAUGCCGCGUGUGUGAAGAAGGCCUUCGGGUUGUAAAGCACUUUCAGUGGGGAAGAAAGCCUUGGGGCUAAUACCCUCGAGGAAGGACAUCACCCACAGAAGAAGCACCGGCUAACUCCGUGCCAGCAGCCGCGGUAAUACGGAGGGUGCGAGCGUUAAUCGGAAUUACUGGGCGUAAAGCGCGCGUAGGCGGUCUGAUAAGCCGGUUGUGAAAGCCCUGGGCUCAACCUGGGAACGGCAUCCGGAACUGUCAGGCUAGAGUGCAGGAGAGGAAGGUAGAAUUCCCGGUGUAGCGGUGAAAUGCGUAGAGAUCGGGAGGAAUACCAGUGGCGAAGGCGGCCUUCUGGACUGACACUGACGCUGAGGUGCGAAAGCGUGGGUAGCAAACAGGAUUAGAUACCCCAGUAGUC